This 247-nucleotide ribosomal RNA is filed under the name uncultured bacterium. RNAcentral's name for it is "partial 16S ribosomal RNA". It matches the Rfam family "Bacterial small subunit ribosomal RNA", at positions 524 to 770 of the family's 1533-position model. The record is from RNAcentral.
UACGAAGGGGGCUAGCGUUGCUCGGAAUUACUGGGCGUAAAGCGCACGUAGGCGGGUUGUUAAGUCGGGGGUGAAAUCCUGGAGCUCAACUCCAGAACUGCCUUCGAAACUGACGAUCUUGAGUUCGGGAGAGGUGAGUGGAACUGCGAGUGUAGAGGUGAAAUUCGUAGAUAUUCGCAAGAACACCAGUGGCGAAGGCGGCUCACUGGCCCGAUACUGACGCUGAGGUGCGAAAGCGUGGGGAGCA